CUCUUUUUGAUUAUAAUUUAAAGUAGGGCCUGCCCACUGAAUUUUGAAGGGCCGCAGUAUUUUGACUGUGCAAAGGUAGCAUAAUCAUUAGUUUUUUAAUUGAAAGCUUGUAUGAAUGGUUUGAUGAGAAAAUUUCUGUCUCAAUUUUAAUAAUUUAAAAUUUUAUUUUUAAGUCAAAAAGCUUAAAUAAUUUUAAAAGACGAGAAGACCCUAUAGAGUUUUAUUAAAAGUAGUUUUAUAAAUUUUAGAAUUUAAUUUUUUUAAUAUUAUUUUUAAUUGGGUUGGGGUGACUAAAAAAUUUAAUUAACUUUUUUUUUAUAAAUACAUUAAUUUAUGAUUAAUUGAUCCAUUUAAAUGAUUAAAAGAUUAAAUUACCUUAGGGAUAACAGCGUAAUUUUUUUUGAGAGUUCUUAUUGAAAAAAAAGAUUGCGACCUCGAUGUUGGAUUAAAAUUUAUUUUUGGUGUAGAAGCUAAAAUAUUAGGUCUGUUCGACCUUUGAAAUUUUACAUGAUCUGAGUUU
RNAcentral lists this ribosomal RNA (520 nucleotides) under Epilachna sp. KS155. RNAcentral's name for it is "partial 16S ribosomal RNA". The stretch from base 382 to 520 matches the Rfam family "Bacterial large subunit ribosomal RNA", at positions 2473 to 2612 of the family's 2925-position model. Lineage: Eukaryota; Metazoa; Arthropoda; Insecta; Coleoptera; Coccinellidae. The record is from RNAcentral.